AACGGCAAUGGUUCUAUCGCCGGCCGCGCAUGCGGCGGGAGGAAAGUCCGGGCAACACAGAGCCGCCAUACUUCCUAACGGGAAGGGGUCCGGGGUGCAAACCCCUCACCACAGACAGUGCCGCAGAAAAUAUACCGCCGGCUUCGGUCGGUAAGGGUGAAAUCGCGAGGUAAGAGCUCACGUCAUCGGCAGUGAUGCCGAUUGGAGGUAAACCUUAUGGGUUGAAAGACCAAAUACACCGGCAAUUAAGGGUUGGCUCGCCCGCUGCCGGGGGGUAGGUCGAUUGAGACGGCUGGCAACAGUCGUCCUAGAUAAAUGAUAGAAGGCCGGCUUCCGCCGGUUACAGAACCCGGCUUACAAGUUGCCGUUUUUU
Molecule: RNase P RNA, 373 nt
Filed under: Bacteroidales bacterium
Lineage: Bacteria; Pseudomonadati; Bacteroidota; Bacteroidia; Bacteroidales
Description: RNase P RNA component class A
Rfam family: Bacterial RNase P class A
About the family: Ribonuclease P (RNase P) is a ubiquitous endoribonuclease, found in archaea, bacteria and eukarya as well as chloroplasts and mitochondria.
Source: RNAcentral